GCAUAGAGUAGUUCUGUGAACGAUAUUUUUGGUUUCUACAAGUGGCAUCACAAACCUGCUGAAUUCCAGGCUAGAAUCCAGCUUCAGCAACUUCUUGUCUCUAUCACCCUUCAGUCAGAGUGUGAUGCUUUUCCCAACAUAUCUGCAGAUGAGUCCUAUACUUUACUUAUGAAAGAACCAGUGGCUGGCUUUAAGGCCAGCAGAGUUUGGGGAGCAAACAGAGUUUGGUUUGCCCGUUAAUUUAUCAAGAUUCUUAUGGGAUUUUCACCAUCAAUGGAUCCACCAUUAUUGAUUCUCCAAGGUUUUCUCAUAGAGGAAUCUUAGUUGAUGCAUCCAGACACUAUCUGCCAGUUAAGAUUCUUCUUAAAACUCUGGAUGCCAUGGCUUUUAAUAAGUUUAAUGUUCUUCACUGGCACGUAGUUGAUGAGCAGUCUUUCCCCCAUCAAAGCAUCACCUUUCCUGAGUUAAGCAAUAAAGAAAGCUAUUCUUUGUCUCCGGUUUAUACAUGAAAUGAUGUCCAUACGGUGAUUGAAUAUGCCAGAUUAUGAGGAAUUCCAGUCCUGCCAGAAUUUGAAACCCCUGGAUAUACAAUACCUUGGGGAAAAGGUCAGAAAGACCUCCUGACUCCAUGUUACAGUAGAAAAAACAAGUUGGACUCCUUUGGACCUAUAAACCCUACUCUGAAUAUAACAUACAGCUUCCUCAUCACAUUUUUCAAAGAAAUUAGUGAGGUGUAUUCAAAUCAAUUCAUUCAUUUGGGAGGAGAUGAAGUGGAAUUUAAGUGUUGGGAAUCAAAUCCAAAAAUUCAAGAUUUCAUGAGGCAAAAAGGCUUUGGCACAGAUUUUUAAAAACUAGAAUCUUUCUACAUUCAAAAACUUUGAUACUAUUGCAGCCAUAAACAAGGGAUCCAUUGUCUGGCAGGAGGUUUUUGAUGAUAAAGUGAGCCCGGCACAAUAGUUGAAAUGUGGAAAGACAGCGGGUAUCCUGAGGAAUUCAGUAGAGUCACAGUGUCUGGCUUCCCUUAAUCCUUUCUGCUCCUUGGUACGAUUAGUUAUGGACAAGAUUUGAGGAACUACUGUAAAGUGGAACCUCCUGAUUUUGGUGGUACUCAGGAACAGAAAGAACUUGUCAUUGAUGGAGAAGCUUGUCUAUGGGGGGAAUAUGUGGAUGCAACUAACCUCACUCCAAGAUUAUGGCCUCGGGCAAGUGCUGUUGGUGAGAGACUCUGGAGUUCCAAAGAUGUCAGAAAUACGGAUGAUGCCUAUGACAGACUGACAAGGCACCGCUGCAGAAUGGUCAAAUGUGGAAUAGCUGCACAAACUCUUUUUGCUGGAUAUUGUAACCAUGAGAACAUGUGAAAAUGGAGGGGGAAAAAGGCCAUAGCAAUCUGUGCUAUAAUCAACUUCAUUUUGAAAUCAUGUAAAUUAAGACAUUAGACUGUUUUUUGAAUAAAAUAUUUUUAUUGAUUGAACCUC
Cebus imitator (Panamanian white-faced capuchin) is the source of this 1475-nucleotide RNA transcript. It is a transcript of the gene named beta-hexosaminidase subunit beta-like, with no coding region annotated. The record is from RefSeq and is a predicted model, not a curated record. Lineage: Eukaryota; Metazoa; Chordata; Mammalia; Primates; Cebidae. The transcript has a single exon.